GACGAACGCUGGCGGCGUGCCUAAUACAUGCAAGUCGUGCGGACUUUGCGGGAGCUUGCUCCCAAGAAGUUAGCGGCGGACGGGUGAGUAACACGUGGGCAACCUGCCUGACAGACUGGGAUAACAUUCGGAAACGAAUGCUAAUACCGGAUAGAAAGCAUUGAGGCAUCUCAAGGCUGAGAAAGGCGCUAUGGCGUCACUGUUAGAUGGGCCCGCGGCGCAUUAGCUAGUUGGUGAGGUAACGGCUCACCAAGGCGACGAUGCGUAGCCGACCUGAGAGGGUGACCGGCCACACUGGGACUGAGACACGGCCCAGACUCCUACGGGAGGCAGCAGUAGGGAAUCUUCCACAAUGGGCGAAAGCCUGAUGGAGCAACGCCGCGUGAGUGAUGAAGGCCUUCGGGUUGUAAAACUCUGUCUUCUGGGACGAACGAACAGGAGAGGGAAUGUUCCUGUUGUGACGGUACCAGAGGAGGAAGCCACGGCUAACUACGUGCCAGCAGCCGCGGUAAUACGUAGGUGGCAAGCGUUGUCCGGAAUCACUGGGCGUAAAGCGCGCGCAGGCGGCCGUUUAAGUCUGGGGUGAAAGCCCGGAGCUCAACUCCGGGACUGCCUUGGAUACUGGAUGGCUUGAGCAUUGGAGAGGCAAGGGGAAUUCCACGUGUAGCGGUGAAAUGCGUAGAUAUGUGGAGGAACACCAGUGGCGAAGGCGCCUUGCUGGCCAAUUGCUGACGCUGAGGCGCGAAAGUGUGGGGAGCAAACAGGAUUAGAUACCCUGGUAGUCCACACCGUAAACGAAGAGUGCUAGGUGUUGGUGGGGUCCACCCAUCAGUGCCGAAGCUAACGCAUUAAGCACUCCGCCUGGGGAGUACGCUCGCAAGAGUG
Molecule: ribosomal RNA, 885 nt
Filed under: uncultured bacterium
Lineage: Bacteria
Description: bacterial SSU rRNA
Rfam family: Bacterial small subunit ribosomal RNA
Source: RNAcentral